Molecule: non-coding RNA, 135 nt
Organism: Triticum aestivum (bread wheat)
Lineage: Eukaryota; Viridiplantae; Streptophyta; Magnoliopsida; Poales; Poaceae
Source: Rfam
UAAAUACUCCCUCCGUCCCAAAAUUCUUGUCUUGAAUUUGUCUAAAUACGGAUGUAUCAAGUCAUGUUUUAAUAUUAGAUACAUCCGUAUCUAGACUAAACUAAGACAAGAAUUUUGAGACGGAGGGAGUAGUUU